RNAcentral lists this ribosomal RNA (301 nucleotides) under uncultured bacterium. Its description in RNAcentral is "partial 16S ribosomal RNA". It matches the Rfam family "Bacterial small subunit ribosomal RNA", at positions 509 to 807 of the family's 1533-position model. The record is from RNAcentral.
CAGUAGCCGCGGGAAUACGGAGGGUGCAAGCGUUAAUCGGAAUUACUGGGCGUAAAGCGUGCGUAGGCGGUUCGUUAAGUCUGUUGUGAAAGCCCCGGGCUCAACCUGGGAAUGGCAAUGGAUACUGGCGAGCUAAAGUGUGUCAGAGGAUGGUGGAAUUCCCGGUGUAGCGGUGAAAUGCGUAGAGAUCGGGAGGAACAUCAGUGGCGAAGGCGGCCAUCUGGGGCAACACUGACGCUGAGGCACGAAAGCGUGGGGAGCAAACAGGAUUAGAUACCCCAGUAGUCCCUGUCUCUUAUAC